CACGUAGGGUGCGAGCGUUGUCCGGAAUUAUUUGGCGUAAAGAGCUCGUAGGCGGUGUGUCGCGUCGGCCGUGAAAACUUGGGGCUUAACUCUGAGCGUGCGGUCGAUACGGGCAUCACUUGAGUUCGGCAGGGGAGACUGGAAUUCCUGGUGUAGCGGUGAAAUGCGCAGAUAUCAGGAGGAACACCGGUGGCGAAUGCGGGUCUCUGGGCCGAUACUGACGCUGAGGAGCGAAAGCGUGGGGAGCGAA
RNAcentral lists this ribosomal RNA (250 nucleotides) under uncultured bacterium. RNAcentral describes it as "partial 16S ribosomal RNA". It matches the Rfam family "Bacterial small subunit ribosomal RNA", at positions 524 to 772 of the family's 1533-position model. RNAcentral also lists the same sequence under 1 other name. The record is from RNAcentral.